AAUGCUGUGUCAUCUUGGAGCCAGAGAAAAAUGGGGGAAGAAAAUAUGCAGACAUCGGUACAUCUGACGCCAGCCAGGCAGAAUCUUUUCUUCAGCAAACCUUGCUGCCCAGAGAAAAACAGCCACUCUCAACAGAAAAAGAGGUGCUAAAAAGAAAGAAUCUUCUUUCUUCACCUAAUUUUGCAGGGGAGCUCACAUGGUUUUGGAGAGAUUCUUCUGCUGAGGAAUGCCUGGUGAAGCACUCUAAACACUAACAGGCUUUUUAGGACACUCCCCUUCUCAGCCCAUGGGCUUCCCCUAAACUUCCCUUCUGCAGUGGUUUCUUGGCCCCUGUGGACUGGCAUCUUAGAUGACAUCCCUGUGAAGACAAUUUCAGGAAUACAAGCAAGGAACAAGAGUGAAUGGGAGAAGAAACACAGGAGCCAUUUUACAAUUCAUCACGUACAUGGACCAAGUGAAGAUGCCCUGCUAUAUAAAUGGAAGAUGCUGACUUCAGUGAAAACAUCUGAUAGGAAUAGAAGACUUUGCCUGAGUCCAGGUUGCACAAAACCCACCACCUUUCACCUCUUUCCUCUUCUCUAUUCUCAUUCUAUGUGGGAUAGGCUUCAUCUCUCAGCUCUAGGGGAACAAUAUUUAACCAAAAAUGACCAGUAA
RNAcentral lists this long non-coding RNA (654 nucleotides) under Pan troglodytes (chimpanzee). RNAcentral describes it as "lncRNA (ENSPTRG00000053839.1)". The record is from RNAcentral. Lineage: Eukaryota; Metazoa; Chordata; Mammalia; Primates; Hominidae.